RNAcentral lists this ribosomal RNA (253 nucleotides) under uncultured bacterium. RNAcentral describes it as "partial 16S ribosomal RNA". It matches the Rfam family "Bacterial small subunit ribosomal RNA", at positions 524 to 776 of the family's 1533-position model. The record is from RNAcentral.
UACGGGGGGGGCAAGCGUUGUUCGGAAUUACUGGGCGUAAAGGGCUCGUAGGUGGCCAACUAAGUCAGACGUGAAAUCCCUCGGCUUAACCGGGGAACUGCGUCUGAUACUGGAUGGCUUGAGAUCGGUAGAGGGCGGUGGAAUUUCCGGUGUAGCGGUGAAAUGCGUAGAUAUCGGAAGGAACACCAGUGGCGAAGGCGGCUCACUGGACUGGUAUUGACGCUGAGGUGCGAAAGCGUGGGGAGCAAACAGG